UGCCCCGUGGUGUAACGGUAGCACGAAUGACUCUGGAUCAUUUAGUCGGGGUUCAAAUCCCUGCGGGGCAA
RNAcentral lists this transfer RNA (71 nucleotides) under Planctomyces sp. RNAcentral describes it as "tRNA-Gln". It matches the Rfam family "tRNA". Rfam says of the family: Transfer RNA (tRNA) molecules are approximately 80 nucleotides in length. Their secondary structure includes four short double-helical elements and three loops (D, anti-codon, and T loops). Further hydrogen bonds mediate the characteristic L-shaped molecular structure. tRNAs have two regions of fundamental functional importance: the anti-codon, which is responsible for specific mRNA codon recognition, and the 3' end, to which the tRNAs corresponding amino acid is attached (by aminoacyl-tRNA synthetases). tRNAs cope with the degeneracy of the genetic code in two manners: having more than one tRNA (with a specific anti-codon) for a particular amino acid; and 'wobble' base-pairing, i.e. permitting non-standard base-pairing at the 3rd anti-codon position. The record is from RNAcentral. Lineage: Bacteria; Pseudomonadati; Planctomycetota; Planctomycetia; Planctomycetales; Planctomycetaceae.